GAGGCUUUAGCUUAAUUAAAGUGUCUGAGUUGCAAUCAGGAGAUGUGCAUGUGUACAAGUCUUA
RNAcentral lists this transfer RNA (64 nucleotides) under Loxopholis percarinatum. RNAcentral's name for it is "tRNA-Ala". Lineage: Eukaryota; Metazoa; Chordata; Lepidosauria; Squamata; Gymnophthalmidae. The record is from RNAcentral.